GGUUGUGGCUCAGUGGUAGAGCGCUUGCCUAGCAUGUGUGAGACACUGGGUUCCUUCCCCGGCACCA
This 67-nucleotide transfer RNA is filed under the name Marmota monax (woodchuck). RNAcentral's name for it is "tRNA.Ala". Lineage: Eukaryota; Metazoa; Chordata; Mammalia; Rodentia; Sciuridae. The record is from RNAcentral.